AGAGUUUGAUCCUGGCUCAGAAUCAACGCUGGCGGCGUGCCUAACACAUGCAAGUCGAACGCGAAAGUGGAGCAAUCCAUGAGUAGAGUGGCAAACGGGUGAGUAACACGUGGGCGACCUACCUCAGAGUGGGGGAUAACCUUCCGAAAGGAGGGCUAAUACCGCAUGACAUCCCGUGUUUGGAUACACGGAGAUCAAAGCCGGGGAUCGCAAGACCUGGCGCUUGGAGAGGGGCCCGCGUCCGAUUAGCUAGUUGGUGAGGUAACGGCUCACCAAGGCUCCGAUCGGUAUCCGGCCUGAGAGGGCGGACGGACACACUGGAACUGAGACACGGUCCAGACUCCUACGGGAGGCAGCAGUGGGGAAUUGUUCGCAAUGGGCGCAAGCCUGACGACGCAACGCCGCGUGGAGGAUGAAGAAUUUCGGUUCGUAAACUCCUUUCGACCGAGAAUGAAAUGGCCCGUGACCCAACACGUCACGGGAUUGACAGUAUCGAGAGAA
RNAcentral lists this ribosomal RNA (501 nucleotides) under uncultured bacterium. RNAcentral's name for it is "bacterial SSU rRNA". It matches the Rfam family "Bacterial small subunit ribosomal RNA", at positions 8 to 486 of the family's 1533-position model. The record is from RNAcentral.